AUACGGAGGGUGCAAGCGUUACACGGAAUCACUGGGCGUAAAGCGCGCGCAGGCGGCUUGAUAAGUUGGAUGUGAAAGCCUACGGCUCAACCGUAGAACUGCACCCAAAACUGUCAAGCUAGAGUCUGGGAGGGGAAGAUGGAAUUAGUUGUGUAGGGGUAAAAUCCGUAGAGAUAACUAGGAAUACCAAAAGCGAAGGCGAUCUUCUGGAACAGUACUGACGCUGAGGCGCGAAAGCGUGGGGAGCAAACAGGAUUAGAAACCCUAGUAGUCC
Molecule: ribosomal RNA, 274 nt
Filed under: uncultured bacterium
Lineage: Bacteria
Description: partial 16S ribosomal RNA
Rfam family: Bacterial small subunit ribosomal RNA
Source: RNAcentral